GGCAACAGCUCAAAUUUGAAAUCUGGCGCAAGCCCGAGUUGUAAUUUGUAGAGGAUGCUUCUGGGCAGCGGCCGGUCUAAGUUCCUUGGAACAGGACGUCACAGAGGGUGAGAAUCCCGUAUGUGAUCGGUUGGCACCCGCUACGUAGCUCCUUCGACGAGUCGAGUUGUUUGGGAAUGCAGCUCUAAAUGGGAGGUAAAUGCCUUCUAAAGCUAAAUACCGGCCAGAGACCGAUAGCGCACAAGUAGAGUGAUCGAAAGAUGAAAAGCACUUUGGAAAGAGAGUUAAAAAGCACGUGAAAUUGUUGAAAGGGAAGCGCAUGCAACCAGACUUGUCCGCGGUGUUCCGCCGGUCUUCUGACCGGUCUACUCGCCGCGGGCAGGCCAGCAUCAUCUGGGAGCGCCGGAUAAAGGUAGCGGGAAUGUGGCCCCUCGGGGUGUUAUAGCUCGCUACACAAUACGGCGCCUCCCGGGUGAGGUCCGCGCUUCGGCUAGGAUGCUGGCGUAAUGGUUGUAUGCGGCCCGUCUUGAAACACGGACCAAGGAGUCUACCAUCUA
Molecule: ribosomal RNA, 557 nt
Filed under: Neocatenulostroma germanicum
Lineage: Eukaryota; Fungi; Ascomycota; Dothideomycetes; Mycosphaerellales; Teratosphaeriaceae
Description: partial large subunit ribosomal RNA
Rfam family: Eukaryotic large subunit ribosomal RNA
Source: RNAcentral